Molecule: unclassified non-coding RNA, 369 nt
Filed under: soil metagenome
Description: partial contains 5.8S ribosomal RNA, internal transcribed spacer 2, and large subunit ribosomal RNA
Rfam family: 5.8S ribosomal RNA (bases 1-120)
Source: RNAcentral
GAUGAAGAACGUAGCGAAAUGCGAUACGUAAUGUGAAUUGCAGAAUUCAGCGAACCAUCGAAUCUUUGAACGCACAUUGCGCCCGCCAGUAUUCUGGCGGGCAUGCCUGUCCGAGCGUCAUUUCCCCCCUCACGCGCCCCGUUGCGCGCUGGUGUUGGGGCUCCUCCGCCUGGCGGAGGGCCCCGAAAGCGAGUGGCGGGCCCGGCUGGUUGGCUCCGAGCGCAGUACCGAACGCAAGUUCUCCCCUCGCUCAGACGCCCCGCCGGCGCCCUGCCGUCAAAACGCGCAUGACGUGCAACUCUUUUUACAAGGUUGACCUCGGAUCAGGUAGGACUACCCGCUGAACUUAAGCAUAUCAAUAAGCGGAGG